Molecule: non-coding RNA, 316 nt
Organism: Pelobates cultripes (western spadefoot toad)
Lineage: Eukaryota; Metazoa; Chordata; Amphibia; Anura; Pelobatidae
Source: the annotation of a GenBank genome assembly
UUGGAGAAGCCCCCCAAAUUUUGGGACAUAUAAAAGACAACUCUGUUCCGCGUAGCUGUUGACAUUAUAGUUGCGAAGGCACUUUGUUGACUCUAGAGUACCUCAGGCCAAUUGCACAUCCCCGUGGCGGCGACUUUGCAUGCGGAUGUCAUCCAUAUCAACUUUCGAUGCCAGUUUCUGCUCUUACCAUGGUGACCACGGAUAACAGGGAAUCAGGGUUCCAUUCUGUACAGGGACCCUGAGAAACGACUACCACAUGCAAGGAAGGCAGCAGGCGCGCAAAUGACCCACUCCCGACGCGGGAAGGUAGUGACGA